RNAcentral lists this unclassified non-coding RNA (293 nucleotides) under uncultured Helotiaceae. RNAcentral's name for it is "sequence contains ITS1". The stretch from base 1 to 105 matches the Rfam family "5.8S ribosomal RNA", at positions 50 to 154 of the family's 154-position model. The record is from RNAcentral. Lineage: Eukaryota; Fungi; Ascomycota; Leotiomycetes; Helotiales; Helotiaceae.
GAAAUGCGAUAAGUAAUGUGAAUUGCAGAAUUCAGUGAAUCAUCGAAUCUUUGAACGCACAUUGCGCCCUCUGGUAUUCCGGAGGGCAUGCCUGUUCGAGCGUCAUUAUAACCACUCAAGCCUAGCUUGGUAUUGGGGUUCGCCAGCCCGGCGGCCCUUAAACUCAGUGGCGGUGCCGUCUGGCUCUACGCGUAGUAAUACUCCUCGCGAUAGGGUCCGGUCGGUUGCUUGCCAACAACCCCCAAUUUUUUCAGGUUGACCUCGGAUCAGGUAGGGAUACCCGCUGAACUUAA